Molecule: ribosomal RNA, 433 nt
Filed under: uncultured bacterium
Lineage: Bacteria
Description: partial 16S ribosomal RNA
Rfam family: Bacterial small subunit ribosomal RNA
Source: RNAcentral
AACGAACGCUGGCGGCAUGCCUAACACAUGCAAGUCGAACGAGACCUUCGGGUCUAGUGGCGCACGGGUGCGUAACGCGUGGGAACCUGCCCUUAGGUUCGGAAUAACUCCCCGAAAGGGGUGCUAAUACCGGAUAAUGUCUUCGGACCAAAGAUUUAUCGCCUUUGGAUGGGCCCGCGUUGGAUUAGCUAGUUGGUAGGGUAAAAGCCUACCAAGGCGACGAUCCAUAGAUGGUCUGAGAGGAUGAUCAGCCACACUGGGACUGAGACACGGCCCAGACUCCUACGGGAGGCAGCAGUGGGGAAUAUUGGACAAUGGGCGAAAGCCUGAUCCAGCAAUGCCGCGUGAGUGAUGAAGGCCUUAGGGUUGUAAAGCUCUUUUACCCGGGAUGAUAAUGACAGUACCGGGAGAAUAAGCUCCGGCUAACUCCGUG